This 464-nucleotide ribosomal RNA is filed under the name Vreelandella stevensii. RNAcentral describes it as "partial 16S ribosomal RNA". It matches the Rfam family "Bacterial small subunit ribosomal RNA", at positions 338 to 795 of the family's 1533-position model. The record is from RNAcentral. Lineage: Bacteria; Pseudomonadati; Pseudomonadota; Gammaproteobacteria; Oceanospirillales; Halomonadaceae.
CCUAGGGGUGCUGCAGUGGGGAAUAUUGGACAAUGGGCGAAAGCCUGAUCCAGCCAUGCCGCGUGUGUGAAGAAGGCCUUCGGGUUGUAAAGCACUUUCAGUGGGGAAGAAAGCCUUGGGGCUAAUACCCUCGAGGAAGGACAUCACCCACAGAAGAAGCACCGGCUAACUCCGUGCCAGCAGCCGCGGUAAUACGGAGGGUGCGAGCGUUAAUCGGAAUUACUGGGCGUAAAGCGCGCGUAGGCGGUCUGAUAAGCCGGUUGUGAAAGCCCCGGGCUCAACCUGGGAACGGCAUCCGGAACUGUCAGGCUAGAGUGCAGGAGAGGAAGGUAGAAUUCCCGGUGUAGCGGUGAAAUGCGUAGAGAUCGGGAGGAAUACCAGUGGCGAAGGCGGCCUUCUGGACUGACACUGACGCUGAGGUGCGAAAGCGUGGGUAGCAAACAGGAUUAGAUACCCCAGUAGUC